CUGCGGUUUUUGGUAAAAAAAGUUGAAUUCCGCGAAUUCGUAUGUCACCAUUCAUUACCUAAGAGUAUGAUUGGUGGAGAAACGUUGAACCGGGAGUAAAUGAGAUGAACAAAAUAAAGGGUACAUAAAAGUUAUAAAUUUGUGUCGCGCUGAGUUUUUCUACAUUUAUUUAGAGUAAAAACUCUUUCAUAUGUAUUAGUUCAAAAAAAAAAAAAACUCUCUCAUAUGUAGCAUACCUUUAUUAUUUUAAUUGUUUUUCUUUUUCUACUUGAUUGGUGUGAAAUGAGCGUAAUGUAGCGCUAAUUUUAGUUACUCUACUUUUCUUGCGCUAAAUAUGUUAUACAGUCAGACGCUAAAAUUAUAUAUAUAUAUAUACAUAUAUAUUAUAGUACUUUCUUUCUUUCUUUUUUUUUUUGUUGUUAAAAGAGUAUAGUACUUUCUUUAAAUACAUAAAGUGGCAGACACAAAGGGCUCGAGUUGGUUUUGACUUUUCUGCAUGAUACUGAAAUUAUUUGGCUAGAAAAGUUAUAUCUAGUCAUUUUUUGUUUGUAUCCAUGUAAUUGUUUGAACAUCUCUAUGAUUUAUAUUUAAAUGCAGUAAUCUGUACUUAUGUGACACGUACAGAUGUAUAUUUCUGAUUGACAAGGCUAUUGAAAAUUUUCUGUUUGAUAAUCAGUUUAUUUGUCAUGAAGGCACCAUACACAUGCUAUCUAUACUAUUAUUUAAAAAAUAAAUUUACUUACUAGAUUUCGAUCAGCGCAACCGUACGAGUUUUUAUUUUUA
RNAcentral lists this long non-coding RNA (783 nucleotides) under Brassica rapa (field mustard). Its description in RNAcentral is "long non-coding RNA (BRAP_LNC007359)". Lineage: Eukaryota; Viridiplantae; Streptophyta; Magnoliopsida; Brassicales; Brassicaceae. The record is from RNAcentral.